GGGGAUGUAGUUAAUUAUAAUAUUUGAUUUGCAUUCAAAAGGUACCUCAGGGUCUUCCUCA
RNAcentral lists this transfer RNA (61 nucleotides) under Daphnia galeata. RNAcentral describes it as "tRNA-Ala". It matches the Rfam family "tRNA". Rfam says of the family: Transfer RNA (tRNA) molecules are approximately 80 nucleotides in length. Their secondary structure includes four short double-helical elements and three loops (D, anti-codon, and T loops). The record is from RNAcentral. Lineage: Eukaryota; Metazoa; Arthropoda; Branchiopoda; Diplostraca; Daphniidae.